This 258-nucleotide ribosomal RNA is filed under the name uncultured bacterium. Its description in RNAcentral is "partial 16S ribosomal RNA". It matches the Rfam family "Bacterial small subunit ribosomal RNA", at positions 96 to 354 of the family's 1533-position model. The record is from RNAcentral.
UGGCGGACGGGUGAGUAACGCGUGGGCAACCUGCCCUGUACCGGGGGAUAACACCUGGAAACAGGUGCUAAUACCGCAUAAGCGCGCAGUGCCGCAUGGCGCGGCGCGGAAAACCCCGGUGGUACAGGAUGGGCCCGCGUCUGAUUAGCUGGUUGGCAGGGUAACGGCCUACCAAGGCGACGAUCAGUAGCCGGCCUGAGAGGGUGGACGGCCACACUGGGACUGAGACACGGCCCAGACUCCUACGGGAGGCAGCAG